RNAcentral lists this ribosomal RNA (1567 nucleotides) under Vibrio parahaemolyticus. Its description in RNAcentral is "bacterial SSU rRNA". It matches the Rfam family "Bacterial small subunit ribosomal RNA". Lineage: Bacteria; Pseudomonadati; Pseudomonadota; Gammaproteobacteria; Vibrionales; Vibrionaceae. The record is from RNAcentral.
AAAUUGAAGAGUUUGAUCAUGGCUCAGAUUGAACGCUGGCGGCAGGCCUAACACAUGCAAGUCGAGCGGAAACGAGUUAUCAGAACCUUCGGGGAACGAUAACGGCGUCGAGCGGCGGACGGGUGAGUAAUGCCUAGGAAAUUGCCCUGAUGUGGGGGAUAACCAUUGGAAACGAUGGCUAAUACCGCAUGAUGCCUACGGGCCAAAGAGGGGGACCUUCGGGCCUCUCGCGUCAGGAUAUGCCUAGGUGGGAUUAGCUAGUUGGUGAGGUAAGGGCUCACCAAGGCGACGAUCCCUAGCUGGUCUGAGAGGAUGAUCAGCCACACUGGAACUGAGACACGGUCCAGACUCCUACGGGAGGCAGCAGUGGGGAAUAUUGCACAAUGGGCGCAAGCCUGAUGCAGCCAUGCCGCGUGUGUGAAGAAGGCCUUCGGGUUGUAAAGCACUUUCAGUCGUGAGGAAGGUAGUGUAGUUAAUAGCUGCAUUAUUUGACGUUAGCGACAGAAGAAGCACCGGCUAACUCCGUGCCAGCAGCCGCGGUAAUACGGAGGGUGCGAGCGUUAAUCGGAAUUACUGGGCGUAAAGCGCAUGCAGGUGGUUUGUUAAGUCAGAUGUGAAAGCCCGGGGCUCAACCUCGGAAUUGCAUUUGAAACUGGCAGACUAGAGUACUGUAGAGGGGGGGGGGUAGAAUUUCAGGUGUAGCGGUGAAAUGCGUAGAGAUCUGAAGGAAUACCGGUGGCGAAGGCGGCCCCCUGGACAGAUACUGACACUCAGAUGCGAAAGCGUGGGGAGCAAACAGGAUUAGAUACCCUGGUAGUCCACGCCGUAAACGAUGUCUACUUGGAGGUUGUGGCCUUGAGCCGUGGCUUUCGGAGCUAACGCGUUAAGUAGACCGCCUGGGGAGUACGGUCGCAAGAUUAAAACUCAAAUGAAUUGACGGGGGGCCCGCACAAGCGGUGGAGCAUGUGGUUUAAUUCGAUGCAACGCGAAGAACCUUACCUACUCUUGACAUCCAGAGAACUUUCCAGAGAUGGAUUGGUGCCUUCGGGAACUCUGAGACAGGUGCUGCAUGGCUGUCGUCAGCUCGUGUUGUGAAAUGUUGGGUUAAGUCCCGCAACGAGCGCAACCCUUAUCCUUGUUUGCCAGCGAGUAAUGUCGGGAACUCCAGGGAGACUGCCGGUGAUAAACCGGAGGAAGGUGGGGACGACGUCAAGUCAUCAUGGCCCUUACGAGUAGGGCUACACACGUGCUACAAUGGCGCAUACAGAGGGCAGCCAACUUGCGAAAGUGAGCGAAUCCCAAAAAGUGCGUCGUAGUCCGGAUUGGAGUCUGCAACUCGACUCCAUGAAGUCGGAAUCGCUAGUAAUCGUGGAUCAGAAUGCCACGGUGAAUACGUUCCCGGGCCUUGUACACACCGCCCGUCACACCAUGGGAGUGGGCUGCAAAAGAAGUAGGUAGUUUAACCUUCGGGGGGACGCUUACCACUUUGUGGUUCAUGACUGGGGUGAAGUCGUAACAAGGUAGCGCUAGGGGAACCUGGCGCUGGAUCACCUCCUUAAACGAUGAU